Ornithorhynchus anatinus (platypus) is the source of this 1358-nucleotide long non-coding RNA. RefSeq lists it as uncharacterized. The transcript is spliced from 4 exons. The record is from RefSeq and is a predicted model, not a curated record. NCBI's taxonomy places the organism in Eukaryota, Metazoa, Chordata, Mammalia, Monotremata, Ornithorhynchidae.
GUGUCCCUCAAUAUGUCCAUCCCUCCCUCCCCAUCACUGACAGGGAGAAAGUCUGGCCCAACAUCAGUGUACCUUUGAUGGAGGAAUGGUGUCCAGGGUGAUGUCCAGCUGACAGAGUCCGGGGGAGACGUGAAACAACCUGGGGGAUCUCUGAGCCUCUCCUGUAAAGCCUCUGGAUUCACCUUCAGCAGUCACAGCUUGAGCUGGGUCCCCCAGGCUCCAGGGAAGGGGCUCCAGUGGGUCGCAGGUAUAACUAGCAGUGGCAACACUUACUAUAUAGACUCGGUGAAAGGGCGAUUCACCAUCUCCAGGGACAACGCUAACAGCCAGGUGCAGCUCCAAAUAAACAGUCUGAAAACUGAGGACACGGCCUGUAUUACUGUGCCAGAGACACAUUGAGAGAAACCACAUCCUGAACCUGUCAGAAGCCCUGGGAGAUUCCCUGGACUACUGCUGGCUGGAUGUCCACUCAGAGGUCAUCCUGAUGCAGUCAUCCCCAGCACUGGCCCAGCCCUGGCCCAGCCCGGACAGUCCCACAGCCUGCAGUGCACAGUCGGCGGGUUUGACCCAAGCAGCUACUACAUGGGUUGGAUCUGACAGGAGAUUGAGAAGGGGCUAGAGAUGCUGGUCACUUACUAUAGCUCAAGUAAUAAUUACUACAACCGGCCAAACAGGGCCGAUUAACAGCCUCCAAGGACAGCUCCAAUUUCUACUUACAAAUGAACAGAGUCACAGCAGCAGACAUUAUUAUUUGAGAAUUACAUAGUGCGGGUCAGUGAGUGUGAGCUCAGACAAAAAACCUUGGCCUGUAGGAGGAGGCUGGGCAGGAGGGGGCCCUCAAUACCCACUUAGCACAAGGAGCCCAGUUGCAGGAGCAGGUGUCCAGGGUGAUGUCCAGCUGGUGGAGUCUGGGGCGGAGAUGUGAGACAGCCUGAGGGUGCUGUGCGACUUUCCUGUAAAGCCUCUGGAUUCACCUUGAGGGAUGACUUCAUGAACUGGGUCUGCCAGGCUCCAGGGAAGGGUCUGGAGUGGGUUGCAAGAAUAAAUAGUGAUGGAGGCAAAACAUACUAUGCAGACUCGGUGAAAGGCUGAUUCACCAUCUCCAGGGACAAUAGCAACAGCCUGCUGCAUCUGCAACUGAACAGCCUAAAAACCGAGGACACGGCCCUGUAUUAAUGUAUGACACGUACAUUGAGAGAAACCACAUCCUGAGCCUACCAGAAACCCUGGAGGAUUCCAGGUCUGCUGCUGGCCAGGGCAACAGAGCAGCAAAAGCCAGUCAACAAGUCUUGGCUCCUUAGCACAAUCACUGAUUGCAUUAUUAAUGUUGUUAGUAAUUACUAAAGAGUUCUCCCUGA